RNAcentral lists this ribosomal RNA (1638 nucleotides) under human gut metagenome. RNAcentral describes it as "bacterial LSU rRNA". It matches the Rfam family "Bacterial large subunit ribosomal RNA", at positions 827 to 2487 of the family's 2925-position model. The record is from RNAcentral.
UUCCAAUCGAACCCGGAGAUAGCUGGUUCUCCUCGAAAUAGCUUUAGGGCUAGCCCAUGACAAGUCUGCCGCAGGUAGAGCACUGAAUUUCCUAGGGGGCGUCAAAGCCUACCGAAGAAUAUCAAACUCCGAAUGGCGGCCAGAUGGUGUCAUGGAGUCAGACUGCACGAGAUAAGUUGGGUGGUCAAAAGGGAAAGAGCCCAGACCCACAGCUAAGGUCCCAAAGUGCGUGUUAAGUGGAAAAGGAUGUGGGAUUUCGAAGACAACUAGGAUGUUGGCUCAGAAGCAGCCACACAUUAAAAGAGUGCGUAAUAGCUCACUAGUCGAGAGGUCCUGCGCCGAAAAUGUCCGGGGCUGAAACACGACACCGAAGCUUGGGAAUCCUACGGGAUUGGUAGAGGAGCAUUGAAGACGGGACGAAGCGUAACCGUAAGGAUACGUGGACUGUCUUGAAGAGAGAAUGCCGGAAUGAGUAGCGAGAAUGAAGUGAGAAUCUUCAUGGCCGAAUAUCUAAGGUUUCCAGGGUAAAGCUGAUCUGCCCUGGGUAAGUCGGGACCUAAGGCGAGGUCGAAAGACGUAGCCGAUGGACAACAGGUUGAAAUUCCUGUACUGCAUUAAAUCAGAACUGUGGGGACACAGAAGGAAGGCAUGAGCCGGAAAAGGAAAAUCCGGUGCAAGCAUGGGAGGGGUAUGACAGGCAAAUCCGUCAUGCAACCCGAGAAUGUGACGCGGAGCGAACAAAAGUAGCGAAGCAUGCUUACCGGCUGUCGAGAAAAGCCGCUAUUGUGUUUAAUGUACCCGUACCGUAAACCGACACAGGUGGAUGAGGAGAGAAUCCUAAGGCCGGCGGGAGAAGCAUUGUUAAGGAACUCGGCAAAAUGACCCCGUAACUUCGGGAGAAGGGGUGCUCUUAGAAAUAAGAGCCGCAGAGAAUUGGCCCAAGCAACUGUUUAGCAAAAACACAGGUCUAUGCAAAACCGCAAGGUGAAGUAUAUGGGCUGACGCCUGCCCGGUGCUGGAAGGUUAAGGGGAGGGCUUAGCGCAUUAGCGCGAAGGUCUGAACUUAAGCCCCAGUAAACGGCGGCCGUAACUAUAACGGUCCUAAGGUAGCGAAAUUCCUUGUCGGGUAAGUUCCGACCCGCACGAAAGGCGUAAUGAUUUGGGCACUGUCUCAACAACACACCCGGUGAAAUUGAAAUACCAGUGAAGAUGCUGGUUACCUGCGCCAGGACGGAAAGACCCCAUGGAGCUUUACUCCAGCUUGAUACUGGGAUUCGGUACUGCAUGUACAGGAUAGGUGGGAGACUGAGAAUUAAGGACGCCAGUCCUUAAGGAGUCACUGUUGGGAUACCACCCUUGCAGUAUUGGAUUUCUAACCAACAGCCAUGAUCUGGUUGGGGGACAAUGUCAGGUGGGGAGUUUGACUGGGGCGGUCGCCUCCGAAAGGGUAUCGGAGGCGCUCAAAGGUCUUCUCAGAAUGGACGGAAACCAUUCGCAGAGUGCAAAGGCAGAAGAAGGCUUGACUGUGACACCGACGGGUGGAGCAGGUACGAAAGUAGGACUUAGUGAUCCGGUGGUAUAACGUGGGAUUGCCAUCGCUCAACGGAUAAAAGCUACCCUGGGGAUAACAGGCUUAUC